AAAUCCCUGCCAUGCUCGUGUAGAUGCGAUAAUUUUGAGCCAACACUUGAAGAAGGGGAGCCUUACAUUUCCGAGUCGAUUGCACGCCGCCUCGGCGCGGAAGCACGAAGCUUGGAUGCGGGCACCCACUUGGACCGCGAGGUUCAAGAAGUCAAAUCUCACGGCAUUAAGGUGGGGAUUUU
This 182-nucleotide non-coding RNA is filed under the name Candidatus Hydrogenedentota bacterium. Its description in RNAcentral is "Candidatus Hydrogenedentes bacterium 6S RNA". It matches the Rfam family "6S / SsrS RNA". From Rfam's summary of the family: E. coli 6S RNA was the first non coding RNA to be sequenced, but its function was unknown until recently. It consists of 184 nucleotides that fold into an extended hairpin structure with a large single-stranded internal bulge. The 6S RNA specifically associates with RNA polymerase holoenzyme containing the sigma70 specificity factor. Lineage: Bacteria; Pseudomonadati; Candidatus Hydrogenedentota. The record is from RNAcentral.